UGGGGAAUUUUGCACAAUGGGGGAAACCCUGAUGCAGCGACGCCGCGUGAUUUAGAAGGCCUUCGGGUUGUAAAAAUCUUUUCUAUGGGAAGAAAAUGACAGUACCAUAGGAAUAAGGACCGGCUAAUUACGUGCCAGCAGCCGCGGUAAUACGUAAGGUCCGAGCGUUGUCCGGAAUCAUUGGGCGUAAAGGGUACGUAGGCGGGUAAGCAAGUUAGAAGUGAAAUCCUAUAGCUCAACUAUAGUAAGCUUUUAAAACUGCUCAUCUUGAGGUAUGGAAGGGAAAGUGGAAUUCCUAGUGUAGCGGUGAAAUGCGCAGAUAUUAGGAGGAAUACCGGUAGCGAAGGCGACUUUCUGGCCAUAACCUGACGCUGAGGUACGAAAGCGUGGGUAGCAAACAGG
Molecule: ribosomal RNA, 402 nt
Filed under: bacterium
Lineage: Bacteria
Description: partial 16S ribosomal RNA
Rfam family: Bacterial small subunit ribosomal RNA
Source: RNAcentral